RNAcentral lists this small RNA (83 nucleotides) under Marmota monax (woodchuck). Lineage: Eukaryota; Metazoa; Chordata; Mammalia; Rodentia; Sciuridae. The record is from RNAcentral.
GCUGGAUGUGGUGGCACACAUCUGUAAUCCCAGCAGCUGAGGAGGCUGAGGCAGGAGGAUCACAAGUUCAAAGCCAGCCUUGA